This 520-nucleotide ribosomal RNA is filed under the name uncultured bacterium. RNAcentral describes it as "bacterial SSU rRNA". It matches the Rfam family "Bacterial small subunit ribosomal RNA", at positions 120 to 674 of the family's 1533-position model. The record is from RNAcentral.
GGGAAUCUACCGAGCCCUGCGGAAUAGCUCCGGGAAACUGGAAUUAAUACCGCAUACGCCCUACGGGGGAAAGAUUUAUCGGGGUUUGAUGAGCCCGCGUUGGAUUAGCUAGUUGGUGGGGUAAAGGCCUACCAAGGCGACGAUCCAUAGCUGGUCUGAGAGGAUGAUCAGCCACAUUGGGACUGAGACACGGCCCAAACUCCUACGGGAGGCAGCAGUGGGGAAUAUUGGACAAUGGGCGCAAGCCUGAUCCAGCCAUGCCGCGUGAGUGAUGAAGGCCCUAGGGUUGUAAAGCUCUUUCAACGGUGAAGAUAAUGACGGUAACCGUAGAAGAAGCUCCGGCUAACUUCGUGCCAGCAGCCGCGGUAAUACGAAGGGGGCUAGCGUUGUUCGGAAUUACUGGGCGUAAAGCGCACGUAGGCGGAUAUUUAAGUCAGGGGUGAAAUCCCGGGGCUCAACCUCGGAACUGCCUUUGAUACUGGGUAUCUUGAGUAUGGAAGAGGUAAGUGGAAUUGCGAGU